AUGACUCUCCCAUCGCUGUGCUCCUACGGUGAACUUUUCUUCGGAGCCGGGACGCGGCUCACCGUCCUAGAUCCGCUGUUUUUCGGAGCGGGCACCCGCCUCUCCGUGCUGGGUAAGAAGGGGCUGGGGUCGGGGCCGGGGUCGGGGCCUGGGCUGGGUGGUCGGACCCGGGGUUGGGGGGCCGCUGUCCCGGGCCGGGAGAUUUUGGUGGAGGCCGCGUCUCUGUGCUCCUCAUACGAGCGGCACUUCGGACCCGGGACCCGCCUGACGGUCAUCGAUGACUUGCAAAAGGUGAAGCUCCCAAAGGUGACUCUUUUUGACCCAUCCGAGGAGGAGAUCAAUGAGUUGGGGAAGGCCACCUUGGUCUGCCUGGCCACGGGCUUCUUCCCCGACCUCGUGGAGAUUAGCUGGUGGGUGGACGGCCAGGAGACGAAGGAGGGGGUCAGCACGGAUGCCCAGCCCUUGAACUACACCGAAACCAAGUCUUCGAACAGCACUUAUGCCCUGAGCAGUCGCCUCCGCGUCUCAGCGGGGUUCUGGCAGAACCCCUGGCGCCGCUUCCGCUGCCAGGUCCACUUCUAUGGGCUCAGUGACAGUGAUACAUGGACUGACAGCUCCCGGCCUAAACCUGUCACUCAGAACAUCAGCGUUGAGACCUGGGGAAAAGCAGACUGUGGAAUCACCGCAGCAUCCUACCAGAAGAGCGUCCAGUCAGCCACCUUCCUCUAUGAGAUCCUCUUGGGGAAGGCCUUGGUCUACGCGGUGCUGGUCAGCACCCUGGUGUGGAGGGCCAAGGCCAAAAAACAUGUUUUGUAAGGUGAUCGCAGCACCUGGUUCUCUCCCUUGGCAAUGGAAGAAGAAGGAGAGUCCUGGACAAUCCCUCCAGAACCAAGCUCUAAUUCCCCUCCCCCAAACUCCUUUUCCCCAAAUCCCAGCUAUUAUCCCACCCUCAACCCAGACCCGUCUUCCAGCAGGGUCCAGCCAUUCACCUGAUCAUCUGUCCUCUUGCCUAUCUGUCUGUCUGCCUGCCGGUCCAUCUGUCCGCCUGUUUGUCCAUCAGGAGGGGAUGAAUUCUGACACAAAUAAAGAGGUCUCGGCUGCCUCA
Non-coding RNA from Ornithorhynchus anatinus (platypus), 1105 nucleotides. The record is from the annotation of a RefSeq genome assembly. NCBI's taxonomy places the organism in Eukaryota, Metazoa, Chordata, Mammalia, Monotremata, Ornithorhynchidae.